This 253-nucleotide ribosomal RNA is filed under the name uncultured bacterium. RNAcentral's name for it is "partial 16S ribosomal RNA". It matches the Rfam family "Bacterial small subunit ribosomal RNA", at positions 524 to 776 of the family's 1533-position model. The record is from RNAcentral.
UACGGGGGGGGCAAGCGUUGUUCGGAAUUACUGGGCGUAAAGGGCUCGUAGGCGGCCAACUAAGUCAGACGUGAAAUCCCUCGGCUUAACCGGGGAACUGCGUCUGAUACUGGAUGGCUUGAGUUCGGGAGAGGGAUGCGGAAUUCCCGGUGUAGCGGUGAAAUGCGCAGAUAUCGGGAGGAACACCUAUGGCGAAGGCAGCUCGCUGGGACGUUACUGACGCUGAGACGCGAAAGCGUGGGGAGCAAACAGG